GAUGAACGCUGGCGGCGUGCCUAAUACAUGCAAGUCGAGCGAACGGACGAGAAGCUUGCUUUUCUGAUGUUAGCGGCGGACGGGUGAGUAACACGUGGAUAACCUACCUAUAAGACUGGGAUAACUUCGGGAAACCGGAGCUAAUACCGGAUAAUAUUUUGAACCGCAUGGUUCAAAAGUGAAAGACGGUCUUGCUGUCACUUAUAGAUGGAUCCGCGCUGCAUUAGCUAGUUGGUAAGGUAACGGCUUACCAAGGCAACGAUGCAUAGCCGACCUGAGAGCGUGAUCGGCCACACUGGAACUGAGACACGGUCCAGACUCCCACGGGAGGCAGCAGUAGGGAAUCUUCCGCAAAGGGCGAAAGCCUGACGGAGCAACGCCGCGUGAGUGAUGAAGGUCUUCGGAUCGUAAAACUCUGUUAUUAGGGAAGAACAUAUGUGUAAGUAACUGUGCACAUCUUGACGGUACCUAAUCAGAAAGCCACGGCUAACUACGUG
This 497-nucleotide ribosomal RNA is filed under the name uncultured bacterium. RNAcentral's name for it is "partial 16S ribosomal RNA". It matches the Rfam family "Bacterial small subunit ribosomal RNA", at positions 28 to 507 of the family's 1533-position model. The record is from RNAcentral.